AACGAACGCUGGCGGCAGGCCUAACACAUGCAAGUCGAGCGGACAUCUUCGGAUGUUAGCGGCGGACGGGUGAGUAACGCGUGGGAACGUGCCCUUUGCUUCGGAAUAGCCUCGGGAAACUGGGAGUAAUACCGGAUGUACCCUUUGGGGGAAAGAUUUAUCGGCAAAGGAUCGGCCCGCGUUGGAUUAGGUAGUUGGUGGGGUAAUGGCCUACCAAGCCGACGAUCCAUAGCUGGUUUGAGAGGAUGAUCAGCCACACUGGGACUGAGACACGGCCCAGACUCCUACGGGAGGCAGCAGUGGGGAAUCUUAGACAAUGGGGGAACCCUGAUCUAGCCAUGCCGCGUGAGCGAUGAAGGCCUUAGGGUUGUAAAGCUCUUUCACCGGGGAAGAUAAUGACGGUACCCGGAGAAGAAGCCCCGGCUAACUCCGUG
This 434-nucleotide ribosomal RNA is filed under the name uncultured bacterium. RNAcentral describes it as "partial 16S ribosomal RNA". It matches the Rfam family "Bacterial small subunit ribosomal RNA", at positions 29 to 507 of the family's 1533-position model. The record is from RNAcentral.